This 492-nucleotide ribosomal RNA is filed under the name uncultured bacterium. RNAcentral describes it as "partial 16S ribosomal RNA". It matches the Rfam family "Bacterial small subunit ribosomal RNA", at positions 28 to 505 of the family's 1533-position model. The record is from RNAcentral.
GACGAACGCUGGCGGCGUGCUUAACACAUGCAAGUCGAACGGAAAGGCCUGCUUUCCCUUAUGGAUUGCGGGUACUCGAGUGGCGAACGGGUGAGUAACACGUGAGUGAUCUGCCCCCAACUUGGGUAUAAGCCUGGGAAACUGGGUCUAAUUCCCGAUAGGACUGCAGGGUGGUGCCUGUGGUGGAAAACGAUUUUCUAGUGGUUGGGGAUGAGCUCGCGGCCUAUCAGCUUGUUGGUGGGGUAAUGGCCUACCAAGGCGGCGACGGGUAGCCGGCCUGAGAGGGUGGACGGCCACAUUGGGACUGAGAUACGGCCCAGACUCCUACGGGAGGCAGCAGUGGGGAAUAUUGCACAAUGGGCGGAAGCCUGAUGCAGCGACGCCGCGUGGGGGAUGACGGCCUUCGGGUUGUAAACUCCUUUCGACCGCGAGGAAGCCACCUGGUUGGAAGGGUGGUGACGGUAGUGGUAGAAGAAGCACCGGCUAACUACG